RNAcentral lists this long non-coding RNA (935 nucleotides) under Equus caballus (horse). RNAcentral describes it as "lncRNA (ENSECAG00000054260.1)". The record is from RNAcentral. Lineage: Eukaryota; Metazoa; Chordata; Mammalia; Perissodactyla; Equidae.
GACUAGUAGACUUCACAAUAGGGUGACCAGAUGGCUGGAAGGCUGUUUUUACUGGGAAUCCUUAAAUAGCAUUUUAUGGGGAUCUUUUCCUAGAAGCAGAGGAUGUGGGUGAGGAAGAAUCUCAGUGUAUCCAGAGAAGAAUCUUCCGUUGCCUGCCUGGAUGGAAGUGACACCGAGCUGCUCGUCUUCUCACAGCAGCAGCUGCCAGGGGCAGCCCACGAUCAAGGACCAGCUGCCACCAGGGAAGUUCCGGAUGUGGCCGAGUAUUUCAGUCACUGCAUUCUUCCCAGGCAGUUCACUCUCGGGACAGUUGCCAAGGAGGUGUGAAGGAGAAGGCAGAAAGAAGACUUCCUUUGGGGGGUGCAGUGGGACAACUGAGCUGCAGUUGACUGAGCCCUUGCUGUGUGCUCUCCGUGCUAACGUCCCACAGCUCCUUGAAUCCAGGUACACUCCUGUGAGCCUGGACUAGUGCAGUCUCCACUCACAGAGAAAAAUGAGGCACAGAGAGGUCGGGUCACUCGCCCCAGCCUGCACCUGGGUGUCUAACUGUGUCGUUAAUCUCUCCCCUUACUGCCUCCCAUCAGUGUGGCAUAACGCUCGGCCAGAGCAGUCAGUUUUGGAAAUCACAUCCAGGCUAAAUGACCUCAACCCACCACCAUGAGCAGAACUGGCCGACCCUGUGUUCCUUCAGGAGCCUCCCAGGCCUCUCACUAAGCAUCCUUGGGCACCUCUGAGUUCCUGUGGGUGCAGUGGGGAGGCGGUCAGCGGCAUCAGCCCAGGCAGCAGGAUUCCCCUGUGUGCGUCUGCAGUGGAGCUAGCCUUCAUUAGAGAGCAAGGCAGGUCCUGGAGCCCACAGGGUCCUCUUUCUCUCCCCUGCACCAAACUUGCCCCCACCCCAACCUCACAAGGAUGGGGCAAUCUGCCUGAGAGCAGGC